This 21-nucleotide transfer RNA is filed under the name Pritchardia bakeri. RNAcentral's name for it is "partial tRNA-Asp". The record is from RNAcentral. Lineage: Eukaryota; Viridiplantae; Streptophyta; Magnoliopsida; Arecales; Arecaceae.
GUUGUGUUGUAACAGAAACAG